RNAcentral lists this long non-coding RNA (827 nucleotides) under Brassica napus (rape). Its description in RNAcentral is "long non-coding RNA (BNAP_LNC011911)". Lineage: Eukaryota; Viridiplantae; Streptophyta; Magnoliopsida; Brassicales; Brassicaceae. The record is from RNAcentral.
GAGAUUAGAGAGAGGUUGGAUAGUGUUAAUUUGAAAAAGGUAUAAGAGCUUUAUGCAACGAAAGGUUACCAAAUGAAAAAAAAAAAUCAGACAUGGAGAUUUACCAAAAUUCUCAGAUCUGUUAUAAAAUAGGAAACAUGGAAGAAGAGUUAAUCAGAAGUCUUCCAUGAAGUCAUAAGACUUCCAAGAAGUCUUCUAGCACAUUAUAUUUUAGAAGACUUCCAUGAAAACUUCCCAGAAGUCUUCCAGAGUCUUACCCAGAUCUGAAAAACCUGCAUAUCCAAAAAAGUUCAAAUAACUUCAAAAAUAGAAAAUGAGUGGAAGAUUAGAUAUAUCUACUUUUAUAGAACACAAAAAAAAGAUAUCCAAAAUAUAUCGAUUUACCUUUAAAUGAGUGUAAGAUGAGAACCAUGUGAUAAAAAAAAUAUGCAAAAACAAGAUAAAUUAGUGAGAAGAGACAAAAAAAAUGAAAAUUUCUUAUAAAGUUGGAUGUUUUCAAGUUCAAAGAGAUUAGAAAGAGGUUUGAAAGUUUUAGUUCGAAUCAUUACAUUUUUCGUUGCAACCAUUUGAGAGGAAAAGAGAGAAUGACAUUUUCUUUAUAUAUGGAGAUAAAAAAUUCUAUUUAGGAUAAAUAUUUUCGAUUCAGAAGUCUUUCAGAGAAGUCUUCUAUUAGAAUACUUCCUGGAAGUCUCAUGUCUCUAAAUAUACUACUCACCCAGAAUACUUCUAGGAAGUCUUCUAGACUCUAAAUUUAUACCCUAGACUUAAAUAACUAACAAAAUAGAAAAUAAACACUUCACUAAACUUAAAAUAAACUUUGAAAGUGU